UAUGUUUUUUUUUUCAAAAAAAUAUAUAAUAGGUAUACCUACCUAAAUAUUCUACGUGGUAAAAAUAAAAAACUAAAAGGCUCAUAAAAAUAUCAAAAUUUAAUCCAAUUCUGGUAGGAAGCUUUUCUUAUUACCCUACGAAUUACUUUCGACCUCUCGAGUGAUUUUUAAAUGCACAGCAAAUUUUUUGGGAUUUUGAAGUUCUAAAAAAGUCCCCCAUGAAAUUAUUAAUCAACCUCAUCCGCUCACUGUUAUCUACCCAGAAAUUUUAAUUCUUUUUACAAAUCAUUAUGAUAUUAACUCCAAUUAUUUUGAAUACAGGGUACCAGGUAAGGACUAACGAGGCAAACUCAUGCAUUACACAUUGUAUUGAAUAUUGAUGUACGUAAGUAUACAAAAGACCAUGUUGGCAAAAAGGCAAUGUUGCUGAAAGUCCUCUUCACCCCCCUCCCAUUGCACAAACUACAGAAAUACCAACGCUGCGGGGUGGGAGAAGUACCUCCCCGGCAUACCACCAGUUUCUCAUUUUGACUUUGACGUAUGUCUUUGUUUACUUUAUAGCUAGUUUAGUAUGUCUGUCUGUUGGAUUGUAGUAAGUUAAUGUAGGUAGUAGAUGGUCUUCUUUGUAUUUUUAAAAUCGGUUCGGAUUGAAUAUUGAACAAAAUCAAGAAUACGACAUGGCUGGAGCGGUAUCUUAUGAACUUGCUCCUGAUCCUUCUCGUGAAGGCCCAUUAUCGCUGCAAGAACUUUCGGCGAUCGCUAUUGGUGUACAUAUGUGGCGUUGUAAAGCAAACACAAGUACGAGUUGUAAUUCAAAAAAAUUUCAACCAUAUAGUAAACCCAAAUCAGUAAAUCCUAUGCUUGCAAAAACGCCACGAGUAAUUAACGAUAUAAUCAAACAAUACAGCGAAGAAUUUGAGUAUUCGAUGGAAUUUUGGCUAGAAGACCUUUUUGAAAAAGUAUUCAAGUUGCGUUACCGUCGUCAGAAUGAUAUUUUGAAUGACUUCAGUGAUUUCGUGAUCGAUCAUACGGGUGCCAUUCAUGAUAUUGAAACAGCCAAACGAAUAGUGCGUUGUGAUCGUUUGAGUGAAGAUGUGAAAUUCGUGAUUGCUUGUUUAUAUAAUUUCGCAGACGAUAUCGGACGAAUUGGGCUAUCUGUACGGUAUAACGCUAUCACUGAUGAAAUGGAGAACAGUGAGAUAGACGGUUUGUUACUGGUGAAGGUGCAGGUGAAGCUUUUAUUCGUCUUGGUUGAAAGCGGACGGCUAGAUCUAAUGAACUAAAUAAGAUUUUUUAAAAAGGUUCUCUGUAUUUACUGUGACUGAUACGAGCUUAUUUGAUUUUGUUUAUGUACUAUAAUUGAAAAAUUGUUUUGUAUUCCAUACUUAUAUGUAGUAAUAUACCCAUUAACUCUUA
Molecule: long non-coding RNA, 1416 nt
Organism: Planococcus citri (citrus mealybug)
Lineage: Eukaryota; Metazoa; Arthropoda; Insecta; Hemiptera; Pseudococcidae
Exons: 2
Source: RefSeq, a predicted model, not a curated record